RNAcentral lists this ribosomal RNA (344 nucleotides) under Brevundimonas sp. 273S. RNAcentral's name for it is "bacterial SSU rRNA". It matches the Rfam family "Bacterial small subunit ribosomal RNA", at positions 1005 to 1372 of the family's 1533-position model. Lineage: Bacteria; Pseudomonadati; Pseudomonadota; Alphaproteobacteria; Caulobacterales; Caulobacteraceae. The record is from RNAcentral.
GACGUGGCUUUCUCUUCGGAGACUAGGACACAGGUGCUGCAUGGCUGUCGUCAGCUCGUGUCGUGAGAUGUUGGGUUAAGUCCCGCAACGAGCGCAACCCUCGCCAUUAGUUGCCAUCAUUCAGUUGGGAACUCUAAUGGGACUGCCGGUGCUAAGCCGGAGGAAGGUGGGGAUGACGUCAAGUCCUCAUGGCCCUUACAGGGUGGGCUACACACGUGCUACAAUGGCGACUACAGAGGGUUAAUCCUUAAAAGUCGUCUCAGUUCGGAUUGUCCUCUGCAACUCGAGGGCAUGAAGUUGGAAUCGCUAGUAAUCGCGGAUCAGCAUGCCGCGGUGAAUACGUU